GGUAUUGAAAUAAGAUUUUAAAUGAGUGCUAAGAGAAUGAUUAAACAAUUAAAAGCUUUCUUUAAUUAAAAAGUUAAAUUUAAUUUUUUUAGUGCAAAAGCAAAAAUAAAAUUUAGGGACAAGAAGACCCUAUGAAUUUUUAUUGUUAAUAAUUAAAAUUUAAGUUAUUAAUAAUUUAAUUGGGGCGAUAAAAAAAGAAUAAGUAUCUUUUUAGUUAUAAAAUAAGUUCCGUUUUUAGCGAUUAAAUGAAAUAAAUACUCUAGGGAUAACAGCGUAAUAA
This 280-nucleotide ribosomal RNA is filed under the name Ixodes scapularis (black-legged tick). RNAcentral's name for it is "partial 16S ribosomal RNA". Lineage: Eukaryota; Metazoa; Arthropoda; Arachnida; Ixodida; Ixodidae. The record is from RNAcentral.